RNAcentral lists this ribosomal RNA (639 nucleotides) under Cutaneotrichosporon jirovecii. Its description in RNAcentral is "eukaryotic LSU rRNA". It matches the Rfam family "Eukaryotic large subunit ribosomal RNA", at positions 38 to 667 of the family's 3401-position model. Lineage: Eukaryota; Fungi; Basidiomycota; Tremellomycetes; Trichosporonales; Trichosporonaceae. The record is from RNAcentral.
GCAUAUCAAUAAGCGGAGGAAAAGAAACUAACAAGGAUUCCUUUAGUAACGGCGAGUGAACCGGGAAAAGCUCAAAUUUGUAAUCUGGCUGUCUUCGAUAGUCCGAGUUGUAAUCUAUAGACGUGUUUUCCGUGCUGGAUCGUAUCUAAGUCCCUUGGAACAGGGUAUCAAAGAGGGUGACAAUCCCGUGCUUGAUACGACGACCAGUGCUCUGUGAUACACGUUCUACGAGUCGAGUUGUUUGGGAAUGCAGCUCAAAAUGGGUGGUAAAUUCCAUCUAAAGCUAAAUAUUGGCGAGAGACCGAUAGCGAACAAGUACCGUGAGGGAAAGAUGAAAAGCACUUUGGAAAGAGAGUUAAACAGUACGUGAAAUUGUUGAAAGGGAAACGAUUGAAGUCAGUCGUGUUCUUCAGAUUCAGCUGGUUCUUCCAGUCUACUUCUGUUGAACGGGUCAACAUCAGUUUUGUCCGGUGGAUAAAGGUAGUAGGAAUGUGACUCCCCCGGGAGUGUUAUAGCCUAUUAUUGCAUACACUGGGUGAGACUGAGGACUGCAGCUCGCCUUUUGGCCGGUCUUCGGACACGUUCGAGCUUAGGAUGUUGACAUAAUGGCUUUAAACGACCCGUCUUGAAACACGGACC